Molecule: ribosomal RNA, 216 nt
Filed under: Glomeromycotina sp.
Lineage: Eukaryota; Fungi; Glomeromycota
Description: partial small subunit ribosomal RNA
Rfam family: Eukaryotic small subunit ribosomal RNA (bases 87-216)
Source: RNAcentral
GGGUCAGUAGGUUGGUCGUGCCACCGGUACGUACUGGUCUCACUGUUUCCUCCUUCCUGAAGAACCGUAAUGCCAUUAAUUGGGUGUUGCGGGGAAACAGGACUGUUACUUUGAAAAAAUUAGAGUGUUUAAAGCAAGCUAACGCUUGAAUACAUUAGCAUGGAAUAAUGAAAUAGGACGAUCGAUCCUAUUUUGUUGGUUUCUAGGAUUGACGUA